AUUGAACGCUGGCAGCAUGCCUUACACAUGCAAGUCGAACGGUAACAGGUCUUCGGAUGCUGACGAGUGGCGAACGGGUGAGUAAUACAUCGGAACGUGCCUAGUAGUGGGGGAUAACUACUCGAAAGAGUGGCUAAUACCGCAUGAGAUCUACGGAUGAAAGCAGGGGAUCGCAAGACCCUGUGCUACUAGAGCGGCCGAUGGCAGAUUAGGUAGUUGGUGGGAUAAAAGCUUACCAAGCCGACGAUCUGUAGCUGGUCUGAGAGGACGAUCAGCCACACUGGGACUGAGACACGGCCCAGACUCCUACGGGAGGCAGCAGUGGGGAAUUUUGGACAAUGGGCGCAAGCCUGAUCCAGCAAUGCCGCGUGCAGGAUGAAGGCCUUCGGGUUGUAAACUGCUUUUGUACGGAACGAAAAGCCCUGGGUUAAUACCCUGGGGUCAUGACGGUACCGUAAGAAUAAGCACCGGCUAACUACGUGCCAGCAGCCGCCGUAA
Molecule: ribosomal RNA, 498 nt
Filed under: uncultured bacterium
Lineage: Bacteria
Description: partial 16S ribosomal RNA
Rfam family: Bacterial small subunit ribosomal RNA
Source: RNAcentral